GCAUAUCAAUAAGCGGAGGAAAAGAAACCAACAGGGAUUACCUCAGUAACGGCGAAGUGAAGCGGUAACAGCUCAAAUUUGAAAUCUGGUCCGUUCCGGGCCCGAGUUGUAAUUUGUAGAAGAKGCUUUGGGUGCGGCUCCGGCCUAAGUUCCUUGGAACAGGGCGUCAUAGAGGGUGAGAAUCCCGUAUGCGGCCGGCGGCCUGCGCCCGUGUAAAGCUCUUUCGACGAGUCGAGUUGUUUGGGAAUGCAGCUCUAAAUGGGUGGUAUAUUUCAUCUAAAGCUAAAUAUUGGCCAGAGACCGAUAGCGCACAAGUAGAGUGAUCGAAAGAUGAAAAGCACUUUGGAAAGAGAGUUAAACAGUACGUGAAAUUGUUGAAAGGGAAGCGCUUGCAGCCAGACUCGCGGGCCGUCGAUCACCCGGUGUUCUCACCGGGGCACUCGGCGGCCCUCGGGCCAGCAUCAGUUCGGGCGGCCGGAUAAAGGCCGCGGGAAUGUGGCUCCCCUCGGGGAGUGUUAUAGCCCGCGGUGCAAUGCGACCUGCCUGGACUGAGGACCGCGCUUCGGCUAGGAUGCUGGCGUAAUGGCUGUAAGCGACCCGUCUUGAAACACGGACCAAGGAGUCUAACAUCUAUGCGAGUGUUUGGGUGUCAAACCCAUACGCGUAAUGAAAGUGAACGGAGGUGAGAGCCCGUUAGGGUGCAUCAUCGACCGAUCCUGAUGUCUUCGGAUGGAUUUGAGUAAGAGCAUAGCCGUUGGGACCCGAAAGAUGGUGAACUAUGCCUAAAUAGGGUGAAGUCAGAGGAAACUCUGAUGGAGGCUCGCAGCGAUUCUGACGUGCAAAUCGAUCGUCAAAUUUGGGUAUAGGGGGCGAAAGACUAAUCGAACCAUCUAGUAGCUGGGUCUGC
RNAcentral lists this ribosomal RNA (907 nucleotides) under Venustampulla parva. Its description in RNAcentral is "partial large subunit ribosomal RNA". It matches the Rfam family "Eukaryotic large subunit ribosomal RNA", at positions 38 to 960 of the family's 3401-position model. Lineage: Eukaryota; Fungi; Ascomycota; Leotiomycetes; Helotiales; Pleuroascaceae. The record is from RNAcentral.